ACAAGCGAUAGUUUUAAGUCAGAAUUUUGGCCUUGGGUGUCAGUAGUGGGAGUGGGAAUCUCUCGUUUG
This 69-nucleotide transfer RNA is filed under the name Pseudotriton ruber (red salamander). Its description in RNAcentral is "tRNA-Pro". Lineage: Eukaryota; Metazoa; Chordata; Amphibia; Caudata; Plethodontidae. The record is from RNAcentral.